This 301-nucleotide ribosomal RNA is filed under the name uncultured bacterium. RNAcentral describes it as "partial 16S ribosomal RNA". It matches the Rfam family "Bacterial small subunit ribosomal RNA", at positions 509 to 807 of the family's 1533-position model. The record is from RNAcentral.
CAGUCGCCACGGUAAUACGAAGGGUGCAAGCGUUACUCGGAAUUACUGGGCGUAAAGCGUGCGUAGGUGGUGGUUUAAGUCCGUUGUGAAAGCCCUGGGCUCAACCUGGGAAUUGCAGUGGAUACUGGGUCACUAGAGUGUGGUAGAGGAUAGUGGAAUUUCCGGUGUAGCAGUGAAAUGCGUGGAGAUCGGAAGGAACAUCUGUGGCGAAGGCGACUAUCUGGGCCAACACUGACACUGAGGCACGAAAGCGUGGGGAGCAAACAGGAUUAGAUACCCGCGUAGUCCCUGUCUCUUAUAC